UCGGGAAUUUUGGACAAUGGGGGCAACCCUGAUCCAGCCAUGCCGCGUGAAGGAUGAAGUAUUUCGGUAUGUAAACUUCGAAAGAAUAGGAAGAAUAAAUGACGGUACUAUUUAUAAGGUCCGGCUAACUACGUGCCAGCAGCCGCGGUAAUACGUAGGGACCAAGCGUUGUUCGGAUUUACUGGGCGUAAAGGGCGCGUAGGCGGCAUGACAAGUCACUUGUGAAAUCUCUGGGCUUAACCCAGAACGGCCAAGUGAUACUGUCGCGCUAGAGUGCAGAAGGGGCAAUCGGAAUUCUUGGUGUAGCGGUGAAAUGCGUAGAUAUCAAGAGGAACACCUGAGGUGAAGACGGGUUGCUGGGCUGACACUGACGCUGAGGCGCGAAAGCCAGGGGAGCAAACGGGAUUAGAUACCCCCGUAGUCCCUGAGCGGGCUGGCAAGGCGCAU
This 447-nucleotide ribosomal RNA is filed under the name uncultured bacterium. Its description in RNAcentral is "bacterial SSU rRNA". It matches the Rfam family "Bacterial small subunit ribosomal RNA", at positions 355 to 825 of the family's 1533-position model. The record is from RNAcentral.